GAUGAACGCUGGCGGCGUGCCUAAUACAUGCAAGUCGAGCGAACGGACGAGAAGCUUGCUUUUCUGAUGUUAGCGGCGGACGGGUGAGUAACACGUGGAUAACCUACCUAUAAGACUGGGAUAACUUCGGGAAACCGGAGCUAAUACCGGAUAAUAUUUUGAACCGCAUGGUUCAAAAGUGAAAGACGGUCUUGCUGUCACUUAUAGAUGGAUCCGCGCUGCAUUAGCUAGUUGGUAAGGUAACGGCUUACCAAGGCAACGAUGCAUAGCCGACCUGAGAGGGUGAUCAGCCACACUGGAACUGAGACACGGUCCAGACUCCUACGGGAGGCAGCAGUAGGGAAUCUUGCGCAAUGGGCGAAAGCCUGACGGAGCAACGCCGCGUGAGUGAUGAAGGUCUUCGGAUCGUAAAACUCUGUUAUUAGGGAAGAACAGAUGUGUAAGUAACUGUGCACAUCUUGACGGUACCUAAUCAGAAAGCCACGGCUAACUACGUG
Molecule: ribosomal RNA, 497 nt
Filed under: uncultured bacterium
Lineage: Bacteria
Description: partial 16S ribosomal RNA
Rfam family: Bacterial small subunit ribosomal RNA
Source: RNAcentral